This is a non-coding RNA of Pelobates cultripes (western spadefoot toad), 250 nucleotides long. Lineage: Eukaryota; Metazoa; Chordata; Amphibia; Anura; Pelobatidae. The record is from the annotation of a GenBank genome assembly.
UCUUGUUGUGGUAGUUUUUCUUCUUUUAAAUAUAGUCUCCUCCUUUACUGUGUCGAUUCCCUUUAUAUAUUUAAAUGUUUCUAUCAUAUCCCCCCGUCUCGUCUUUCCUCCAAGCUAUACAUGUUAAGAUCCUUUAACCUUUCCUGGUAAGUUUUAUCCCGCAAUCCAUGAACCAGUUUAGUAGCCCUUCUCUGAACCCUCUCUAAGGUAUCAAUAUCCUUCUGAAGAUACGGUCUCCAGUACUGUGUAC